CCUCUGCAGCCAGUUAAGCCAACUGAGUUCCUUUCCUCAUGGGGGCCCAGUGUGCAAUGGCUGCUAACAGCAGCUUCCUUGGUAGUGUACUCAGCCUGUUUCUUGUAUGGGUUGCUCUAAGGGACCUUGGAGACAGGCCUUUCAGAUGGAUGUUCAUGUCUCUGACUUUGUGCUAUCCCCAGUCUAGGCUCCAAACAGGUAUGCGAGGUACCUUUGGAAAGCCCCAGGGCACUAUGGCCAGGGUUCACAUUGGCCAAGUUACCACGUCCAUCUGCACCAAGCUGCAGAACAAGGAGCACGUGAUUGAGGCCCUACGCAGGGCCAAGUUGAAGUUCCCUGGCUGCCAGAAGAUCCCACAUCUCUAAGAAGUGGGGCUUUACCAAGUUCAAUGCAGGUGAAUUUCAAUGCAGAUGAAUUUGAAGCCAUGGUGGCUGAGAAGCAGCUCAUCCCAGAUGGCUGCAGGGUCAGUUACAUCCCCAGUAGUGGCCCUCUGGACAAGUGGCGGGCCCUGCUCUUGUGAGGGCUUCCACUGUGCAGCCCCCUCUUAAUGCUCACCAAUAAAUCCUACUUUCUGGGCUGGGCGCGGUGGCUCACACCUGUAAUCCCAGCACCUUGGGAGGCUGAGGCAGGUGGAUCCUGAGGUCAGGAGAUUGCGACCAUCCUAGCUAACACAGUGAAACCCUGUCUCUACUAAAAAUACAAAAAAUUAG
Symphalangus syndactylus (siamang) is the source of this 710-nucleotide RNA transcript. It is a transcript of the gene named large ribosomal subunit protein uL16-like, with no coding region annotated. NCBI's taxonomy places the organism in Eukaryota, Metazoa, Chordata, Mammalia, Primates, Hylobatidae. The record is from RefSeq and is a predicted model, not a curated record.